This is a long non-coding RNA of Myzus persicae (green peach aphid), 623 nucleotides long. RefSeq lists it as uncharacterized. Lineage: Eukaryota; Metazoa; Arthropoda; Insecta; Hemiptera; Aphididae. The record is from RefSeq and is a predicted model, not a curated record. The transcript has 4 exons.
UAAUCUUGUGCCUUAGGAUUUUUCAGCCAUGCAUCAGUUAACUUCAUCUUCUCAACUUGAUGAAUAAAUUCAGAGUUAUUUCUACUGUUGGCAAUAUUCCUCCAGAGUAUCAGAAGUUCACCUCGAUUUUCUUUAAUAUUCAGAUUUCCCUGUUUAUUAGUCCAUCUUAACCAUGCCUGUUCUCGAUGGAAAUCACAUAUAUUUUGAGUCUUCACAUUGGACAAAAAAUGAAGCAACAACAGAAUAGUUAACGUUGGUUUUUACAACAAGGAGGAAUAAUGGAAGUGCAUAUUUUGUAGUUUUGUAUGUUGCGUCAAGAAAACAUACAUUACCAUAUCGAUUGAGGUAAAACGCUCGUGACAAAAUUGAUGGUUUUAAAUUCGAACGUUCAACAAAAUCUUUCAACAUCGACUCAACAAUUUUUACAUUUGAAAAUCCAUUAUUUACCAAUCUUGAUAUUUCGUUAUAAACAGAUUUAUCUAUUGGGAGAUUUAAAAGAGAAGUUUCAAUUACGUGGUUGUGUACUGACGAUUCAACGCCAAUUUAAAAAACUUAUAUUACCUGUUUUUUAAGCCUCCAUUUAGUCAGUGAACACUCUGUUAUUACAUAUUCUGGGAAAUACA